This 468-nucleotide ribosomal RNA is filed under the name uncultured bacterium. RNAcentral's name for it is "partial 16S ribosomal RNA". It matches the Rfam family "Bacterial small subunit ribosomal RNA", at positions 28 to 507 of the family's 1533-position model. The record is from RNAcentral.
GACGAACGCUGGCGGCGUGCUUAACACAUGCAAGUCGAACGGAAAGGCCCUGAGUUUGUGGGGUGCUGGAGUGGCGAACGGGUGAGUAACACGUGAGUAACCUGCCCUUGACUUUGGGAUAACUUCAGGAAACGGGGGCUAAUACCGGAUAGGAGCCGCUGCUGCAUGGUGGGGGUUGGAAAGUUUCGGCGGGUGGGGGUGGACGCGCGGCUUAUCAGCUUGUUGGUGGGGUAGUGGCUGACCAAGGCGUUGACGGGUAGCCGGCCUGAGAGGGUGACCGGCCACAUUGGGACUGAGAUACGGCCCAGACUCCUACGGGAGGCAGCAGUGGGGAAUAUUGCACAAUGGGCGGAAGCCUGAUGCAGCAACGCCGCGUGCGGGAUGACGGCCUUCGGGUUGUAAACCGCUUUCGCCUGUGACGAAGCGUGAGUGACGGUAAUGGGUAAAGAAGCACCGGCUAACUACGUG